AUUGAACGCUGGCGGCAUGCCUUACACAUGCAAGUCGAACGGUAACGGGCCUUCGGGUGCCGACGAGUGGCGAACGGGUGAGUAAUACAUCGGAACGUGCCCGAUCGUGGGGGAUAACGAGGCGAAAGUUUUGCUAAUACCGCAUACGAUCUACGGAUGAAAGCAGGGGACCGCAAGGCCUUGCGCGGACGGAGCGGCCGAUGGCAGAUUAGGUAGUUGGUGGGAUAAAAGCUUACCAAGCCGACGAUCUGUAGCUGGUCUGAGAGGAUGAUCAGCCACACUGGGACUGAGACACGGCCCAGACUCCUACGGGAGGCAGCAGUGGGGAAUUUUGGACAAUGGGCGCAAGCCUGAUCCAGCCAUGCCGCGUGCAGGAUGAAGGCCUUCGGGUUGUAAACUGCUUUUGUACGGAACGAAAAGCCUUCUUUUAAUACAGGAGGGUCAUGACGGUACCGUAAGAAUAAGCACCGGCUAACUACGUG
Molecule: ribosomal RNA, 482 nt
Filed under: uncultured bacterium
Lineage: Bacteria
Description: partial 16S ribosomal RNA
Rfam family: Bacterial small subunit ribosomal RNA
Source: RNAcentral